This is an unclassified non-coding RNA of Loxodonta africana (African savanna elephant), 101 nucleotides long. It matches the Rfam family "Y RNA". From Rfam's summary of the family: Y RNAs are components of the Ro ribonucleoprotein particle (Ro RNP), in association with Ro60 and La proteins. The Y RNAs and Ro60 and La proteins are well conserved, but the function of the Ro RNP is not known. In humans the RNA component can be one of four small RNAs -- hY1, hY3, hY4 and hY5. NCBI's taxonomy places the organism in Eukaryota, Metazoa, Chordata, Mammalia, Proboscidea, Elephantidae. The record is from Ensembl.
GGAAAAACAAAAGGCAGUGAGUUCUCUCAGCCAAUUUCUCAGCCAAUUACAGGUCGACCUUCUCGUCUACCCCGCUCACUGCUGCGCUUGACUGGUCUUUG